AUUGAACGCUGGCGGCAUGCCUUACACAUGCAAGUCGAACGGUAACGGGCCUUCGGGUGCCGACGAGUGGCGAACGGGUGAGUAAUGCAUCGGAACGUACCAUUGAGUGGGGGAUAACGUAGCGAAAGUUACGCUAAUACCGCAUAUUCUGUGAGCAGGAAAGCAGGGGAUCGCAAGACCUUGCGCUCUUUGAGCGGCCGAUGUCGGAUUAGCUAGUUGGUGGGGUAAAGGCCCACCAAGGCUACGAUCCGUAGCGGGUCUGAGAGGAUGAUCCGCCACACUGGGACUGAGACACGGCCCAGACUCCUACGGGAGGCAGCAGUGGGGAAUUUUGGACAAUGGGGGCAACCCUGAUCCAGCCAUGCCGCGUGAGUGAAGAAGGCCUUCGGGUUGUAAAGCUCUUUCGGCCGGGAAGAAAUCGUGUGGGCUAAUACCCUGCAUGGAUGACGGUACCGGAAUAAGAAGCACCGGCUAACUACGUGCCAGCAGCCGCCGCAG
This 498-nucleotide ribosomal RNA is filed under the name uncultured bacterium. RNAcentral's name for it is "partial 16S ribosomal RNA". It matches the Rfam family "Bacterial small subunit ribosomal RNA", at positions 30 to 523 of the family's 1533-position model. The record is from RNAcentral.